AUUGAACGCUGGCGGCAUGCUUUACACAUGCAAGUCGAACGGCAGCGCGGGCUUCGGCCUGGCGGCGAGUGGCGAACGGGUGAGUAAUGCAUCGGAACGUGCCCAGUAGUGGGGGAUAGCCCGGCGAAAGCCGGAUUAAUACCGCAUACGACCUGAGGGUGAAAGCGGGGGACCGAAAGGCCUCGCGCUAUUGGAGCGGCCGAUGUCGGAUUAGCUAGUUGGUGGGGUAAAGGCUUACCAAGGCGACGAUCCGUAGCUGGUCUGAGAGGACGACCAGCCACACUGGGACUGAGACACGGCCCAGACUCCUAUGGGAGGCAGCAGUGGGGAAUUUUGGACAAUGGGGGCAACCCUGAUCCAGCCAUGCCGCGUGCGGGAAGAAGGCCUUCGGGUUGUAAACCGCUUUUGUUCGGGAAGAAAUCCUCUGGGCUAAUACCCCGGGGGGAUGACGGUACCGGAAGAAUAAGCACCGGCUAACUACGUG
Molecule: ribosomal RNA, 484 nt
Filed under: uncultured bacterium
Lineage: Bacteria
Description: partial 16S ribosomal RNA
Rfam family: Bacterial small subunit ribosomal RNA
Source: RNAcentral